GGGGAUGCGUGGUUUCGACAGGGGAUCAGCUUGGCAGGAUUGCAGGCCGAGUUCGCCGCCCACUCGCUAAUCAGACGGCAAAACAUCAACUGCCGACGAACCAGUCGCACUGGCUGCCUAAAAGCGUAGCCACGCCCCGAUAGCCCACUCCGGCGGCUACCGGAAGCGUCAUACAGCCGGGGUGCAGUGGCUCUGAUGCCGCUGCGAGCCACUCAAGACUUCGCGGCAGGUGGCGGGACGGCCCGCCGGUGGGCCCGGCCCAGUCACCCAACCAAACGCCGGCUAAGCCUGUAGUACAUCCGCGCUGAGCGUCUUCUGGACGGGGAGUUCGACUCUCCCCCAUCUCCACCA
RNAcentral lists this transfer-messenger RNA (351 nucleotides) under Dehalococcoidia. Its description in RNAcentral is "Bin16 sp009838965 Standard tmRNA". It matches the Rfam family "transfer-messenger RNA". From Rfam's summary of the family: Bacterial tmRNA, also known as 10Sa RNA or SsrA, is named for its dual tRNA and mRNA-like properties. Its role is to liberate the mRNA from a stalled ribosome. To accomplish this part of the tmRNA is used as a reading frame that ends in a translation stop signal. The record is from RNAcentral. Lineage: Bacteria; Bacillati; Chloroflexota. RNAcentral also lists the same sequence under 1 other name.